RNAcentral lists this ribosomal RNA (253 nucleotides) under uncultured bacterium. RNAcentral's name for it is "partial 16S ribosomal RNA". It matches the Rfam family "Bacterial small subunit ribosomal RNA", at positions 524 to 776 of the family's 1533-position model. The record is from RNAcentral.
UACAGAGGGUGCGAGCGUUGUUCGGAAUUACUGGGCGUAAAGGGUGCGUAGGCGGCUUUCUAAGUUGGAUGUGAAAACUAUGGGCUCAACCCAUAGCCUGCAUCCAAAACUGGAGAGCUUGGGUUCUGGAGGGGAAAGCGGAAUUCCUGGUGUAGCGGUGAAAUGCGUAGAUAUCAGGAGGAACACCGGUGGCGAAGGCGGCUUUCUGGACAGAUACCGACGCUGAGGCACGAAAGCUAGGGGAGCAAACAGG